RNAcentral lists this ribosomal RNA (762 nucleotides) under uncultured Antarctic soil bacterium. Its description in RNAcentral is "bacterial SSU rRNA". It matches the Rfam family "Bacterial small subunit ribosomal RNA", at positions 34 to 804 of the family's 1533-position model. The record is from RNAcentral.
UGGCCUAGUGGUAGUCUUCACAUGGCCGCUGAACGGCGCCGUAGGGCUUGGCUUCGAUUGCGGGGGGAGCAGGGGUGGAGCAGACUAUUCUGACACCACCUAUAACUGGGGCAUAUCCCGGAGAUAGUUGGAAUUCAUGACCCCAUAAUAACAGAAAUUCGCAUGUUUUUCUGUUUAAAACUCCGGUGGUUAGAGAUGGGUAUGCGUCCUAUUAGUUAGUUGGUGAGGUAACGGCCCACCAAGACUUCGAUAGGUAGGGGUUCUGAGAGGAAGAUCCCCCACACUGGUACUGAGACACGGACCAGACUCCUACGGGAGGCAGCAGUGAGGAAUAUUGGACAAUGGACGAAAGUCUGAUCCAGCCAUGCCGCGUGCAGGAAGACUGCCCUAUGGGUUGUAAACUGCUUUUACAGCGGAAGAACCGCACCCACGUGUGGGUGUUUGACGGUACUCUGCGAAUAAGGAUCGGCUAACUCCGUGCCAGCAGCCGCGGUAAUACGGAGGAUCCAAGCGUUAUCCGGAAUCAUUGGGUUUAAAGGGUCCGUAGGCGGGACAAUAAGUCAAGUGGUGAAGUCUGCAGCUCACUGUAGAACUGCAUUGAAACUGUAGUCCUUCGAGUAUUAUGAAGUGGGUAGAAUGAGUAGUGUACCGGUGAAAUCAUAAUAUUCUCAAAAUCCCAUUGCAAGCAGGCCUAUAUGUCUGCCUGUGGACAAACCGGGUGCAAAGAUAAAUCCUGUUUCCCAACAUGUCUCUGCCGCCAUA